UAUGGCUACGAUAGCUAAGAGGAUACACCCGUUCCCAUCUCGAACACGGAAGUUAAGCUCUUAAACGUCGAAGGUACUAAUACAUUUCGUAUUGGAAGAUUAGAAAGUAGCCAAAC
Molecule: ribosomal RNA, 116 nt
Filed under: Parvimonas parva
Lineage: Bacteria; Bacillati; Bacillota; Tissierellia; Tissierellales; Peptoniphilaceae
Source: RNAcentral